RNAcentral lists this ribosomal RNA (429 nucleotides) under Chloroflexota bacterium. Its description in RNAcentral is "Chloroflexi bacterium partial 16S ribosomal RNA". It matches the Rfam family "Bacterial small subunit ribosomal RNA", at positions 355 to 776 of the family's 1533-position model. The record is from RNAcentral. Lineage: Bacteria; Bacillati; Chloroflexota.
UAGGGAAUCUUCGGCAAUGGACGAAAGUCUGACCGAGCAACGCCGCGUGAGUGAAGAAGGUUUUCGGAUCGUAAAACUCUGUUGUUAGAGAAGAACAAGGACGUUAGUAACUGAACGUCCCCUGACUGUAUCUAACCAGAAAGCCACGGCUAACUACGUGCCAGCAGCCGCGGUAAUACGUAGGUGGCAAGCGUUGUCCGGAUUUAUUGGGCGUAAAGCGAGCGCAGGCGGUUUCUUAAGUCUGAUGUGAAAGCCCCCGGCUCAAACGGAGAGGGUCAUUGGAAACUGGGAGACUUGAGUGCAGAAGAGGAGAGUGGAAUUCCAUGUGUAGCGGUGAAAUGCGUAGAUAUAUGGAGGAACACAAGUGGCGAAGGCGGCUCUCUGGUCUGUAACUGACGCUGAGGCUCGAAAGAGUGGGGAGCAAACAGG